This 398-nucleotide ribosomal RNA is filed under the name uncultured Glomeromycotina. RNAcentral describes it as "SSU rRNA". It matches the Rfam family "Eukaryotic small subunit ribosomal RNA", at positions 569 to 970 of the family's 1831-position model. Lineage: Eukaryota; Fungi; Glomeromycota. The record is from RNAcentral.
AGCAGCCGCGGUAAUUCCAGCUCCAAUAGCGUAUAUUAAAGUUGUUGCAGUUAAAAAGCUCGUAGUUGAAUUUUAGACCUGGCCGGGCGGUCCGUCUUUGGCGAGUACUGUCUUGUUGUCGGGUCUUCCUUCUGGUGAACCAGUAUGUCCUUUAUUGGGUGUAUUGGGGAGCCAGGACCAUUACCUUGAAAAAAUUAGAGUGUUUAAAGCGGGCUAUUGCUUGAAUAGAUUAGCAUGGAAUAAUAGAAUAGGACGUUGUGGUUCUAUUUUGUUGGUUUCUAGGACCACCGUAAUGAUUAAUAGGGAUAGUUGGGGGCAUUAGUAUUCAAUUGUCAGAGGUGAAAUUCUUGGAUCGCCGUAAGACGAACUACUGCGAAAGCAUUUGCCAAGAAUGUUUU